Molecule: long non-coding RNA, 628 nt
Filed under: Setaria viridis
Lineage: Eukaryota; Viridiplantae; Streptophyta; Magnoliopsida; Poales; Poaceae
Description: long non-coding RNA (SVIR_LNC007146)
Source: RNAcentral
UUUCUGUCAACUAAAACCAGUUGGACCAAUCAAGGGAAAAAUUAAUAAGUGAAAUAAAUCAGUGUAUAUAAUACUUUUUGUCAACUCAACCUAGCAGUACUAUGAGCUGUUAAGAAAUAUGAAGAUGGAUCUAGCAGAGCAUAGUUUUACUUGAUCUUUGAAAAUAGUACUUGAUGCUUAAGGAGCUGACCAAAUGAUCUAAAGGGUAUUUGCCAAGCAAAACUGAGGGGAAUCAGACAAGUCAAAUUGAUCUUGGCUAUCUUACCAUGAACUUAAAUCUAAGGUUGCCAUUUCUAAUCAGCAAGAAGCCACCUUUUCACUGCUGCAACUCAAAUUGGCAUUCUGGCACGAAACAAUAUUAAUUCUCUAGAUGAAAUGUCCUCCAGAUACAAAACAUAAAUUGUACAAGCAUUCAGUAAAAUUUGUAACAUGUUGACGACGUGCAUCAAUACUUUCUAGAAGCCGCAACAGCUCUACAGGUAGUUCUCUUUCAAAAUCAGAAUACAUUGCCUAUAAUUAAAAUGGCACAGGAGUAUUACAUUCAGAUGCAUGCAUAGAAGUAUUACCCAAAUCAGAACAAGUUAUUUGCUAGAAGCAAUGAAAAAAAUAUUACCAUGAUCAAUGCACG